UUACUGAUAUUUCCACAAUAUAAAAUGAUAUUUUCACAACAAAAUUGUCAUUAUAGAUUCUAUAGCGACAAUUUUCAUCGUCGUUAUACAUCUACAUCGAUAUUUUUGAUGUGAAACUAUCAAAAAAUGUUGUGAAAAUAUCAAUUUUCAUUUUGGUACAGAGAAACAUAUGUGCCUAAAGAGUUAUCAAUAAAUAAUUAUUACG
This 205-nucleotide long non-coding RNA is filed under the name Panax ginseng (ginseng). RNAcentral describes it as "long non-coding RNA (PGIN_LNC011986)". The record is from RNAcentral. Lineage: Eukaryota; Viridiplantae; Streptophyta; Magnoliopsida; Apiales; Araliaceae.